Folsomia candida is the source of this 445-nucleotide long non-coding RNA. RefSeq lists it as uncharacterized. The transcript is spliced from 3 exons. The record is from RefSeq and is a predicted model, not a curated record. NCBI's taxonomy places the organism in Eukaryota, Metazoa, Arthropoda, Collembola, Entomobryomorpha, Isotomidae.
AUGAUGAAAUGCAUAAUCUUAUCUUCAGUCACACAAUUUAUUUGCUUAUCGUUUACAGGAGGAUGGGGCGGCUGGGGUAAGACUUGAUUAGAAAGGGGAUGGAAAUUAGUUUCCUUGUCAUAUUAUGUAAUAACUGUUGCCUUAUUCUGCUGUUGUAACAUUCUUUUGUUAGGCGGAGGAGGUGGUACUGGCGGUCACGGGGGUAGCGGUCACGGUGGGAAUGGGUACUCUGGAGGGCACGGGGGAUACGGAUGGCGAAGGAGGCGAGAUGUGACUCAAGAAGCGUCAAAUAUGCAGCCAUCAGAAAACAAAACGGGUUUGGUAUAAUUCCAUCAUAAACUCCAGUCAAUCCAACAAAAUACCAAAAGAAUCUCAGAGCUUUCCAACUCAAUUUUCAUGUAAAAAAUAUAAAAAUAAAGUGUUCACGAGCAUGUUCUGUUCCGAA